RNAcentral lists this long non-coding RNA (270 nucleotides) under Lathyrus oleraceus (garden pea). Its description in RNAcentral is "Pisum sativum (pea) long non-coding RNA (PSAT_LNC008466)". Lineage: Eukaryota; Viridiplantae; Streptophyta; Magnoliopsida; Fabales; Fabaceae. The record is from RNAcentral.
UUUCCCCAGCAGGUCUGAAGAUUGCCGUUUCCCCAGCGGAGGUGUGCGUUGGUAGCUAUUUCCCCAGCGAAGUCCCCAAGCGGAUCGGGUUUAGUGGAGGUCAUCCUUAGUAAGGGUUGUCCUUUCCCCAACAGCGGUGUUAUCCCAAGCAGGGUUGGAGAUUGGAGCGAUAUCGAGUUCCUCAGCAGAGUUGCUCGUGUCGUCCCCUGAGGGGGAUGCUUUUUAUACAUUCAUCAUUUAGAAGAGCAUAGCAUAUUGCAUAAUAAAUUG